UAUCUCUGUAGAGUCUGCAUAUCAAUAAGCGGAGGAAAAGAAACUAACAAGGAUUCCCUUAGUAACGGCGAGUGAAGCGGGAAGAGCUCAAAUUUGAAAUCUUCAAGGUUCUACCUUGACGAAUUGUAGUUUAAAGAAGUGUUUUCUGUUAGAUGAGUAGCAAAAGUUCCUUGGAAUGGGACAUCAUAGAGGGUGAGAAUCCCGUAUUUGGUUAUUCAUUCUAGCUUUGUGAUACACUUUCAAAGAGUCGGAUUGUUUGGGAAUGCAGUCCAAAAUGGGUGGUAAAUUUCAUCUAAAGCUAAAUAUUGGCGAGAGACCGAUAGCGAACAAGUACCGUGAGGGAAAGAUGAAAAGAACUUUGAAAAGAGAGUUAAACAGUACGUGAAAUUGUCAAAAGGGAAGCGUUUGACACCAGUGUUGUUUUUUCCGAAAAUCAAUUACGAAUGGCUUGAUUUUGUGUUGUAUUGACCUUAUCAGCUUUCUGCACUUUUUUCGAGUCUUUCUUAAUGCACUUUUCGGUUAACAAGUCAACAUCAAUUUCUUUUGUUGUAAAAGAGUAUUCGGAAGGUGGCUUUCUUUUCGGAGAAAGUGUUUAUAGCCCUAUACUUCUACAAUCGGAGAGAUUGAGGUCUGCAGCGUAGAUCCUUCGGGGUUAGAUACACUUUGUGCUAAGUUGUAGCUUUUCAUAGACAACUUGUUGACUAUGUUUAGUCAUGCGGCUUACUCGCUUAGUGCUAUUUUACCUACGCUUAGGAUGUUGACUGAUAUGUAGUCGUA
Molecule: ribosomal RNA, 777 nt
Filed under: uncultured Neocallimastigales
Lineage: Eukaryota; Fungi; Neocallimastigomycota; Neocallimastigomycetes; Neocallimastigales
Description: partial large subunit ribosomal RNA
Rfam family: Eukaryotic large subunit ribosomal RNA
Source: RNAcentral